Molecule: ribosomal RNA, 253 nt
Filed under: uncultured bacterium
Lineage: Bacteria
Description: partial 16S ribosomal RNA
Rfam family: Bacterial small subunit ribosomal RNA
Source: RNAcentral
UACAGAGGGGGCAAGCGUUGUUCGGAAUUACUGGGCGUAAAGGGUGCGUAGGCGGGUUGGUAAGUCCGUGGUGAAAUCCCCAAGCUUAACUUGGGAACUGCCGUGGAUACUAUCAAUCUUGAAUAUCGUGGAGGUAAGCGGAAUAUGUCAUGUAGCGGUGAAAUGCUUAGAUAUGACAUAGAACACCAAUUGCGUAGGCAGCUUACUACACGAUCAUUGACGCUGAGGCACGAAAGCGUGGGGAGCAAACAGG